GCCCUGGUGGCACAGUGGUUAAGUGCUUGGCUGCUAACCAAAAGGUUGGAGGUUCGAACCCACCCAGUGGCU
RNAcentral lists this transfer RNA (72 nucleotides) under Loxodonta africana (African savanna elephant). It matches the Rfam family "tRNA". Rfam says of the family: Transfer RNA (tRNA) molecules are approximately 80 nucleotides in length. Their secondary structure includes four short double-helical elements and three loops (D, anti-codon, and T loops). Further hydrogen bonds mediate the characteristic L-shaped molecular structure. tRNAs have two regions of fundamental functional importance: the anti-codon, which is responsible for specific mRNA codon recognition, and the 3' end, to which the tRNAs corresponding amino acid is attached (by aminoacyl-tRNA synthetases). tRNAs cope with the degeneracy of the genetic code in two manners: having more than one tRNA (with a specific anti-codon) for a particular amino acid; and 'wobble' base-pairing, i.e. permitting non-standard base-pairing at the 3rd anti-codon position. The record is from Rfam by way of RNAcentral. Lineage: Eukaryota; Metazoa; Chordata; Mammalia; Proboscidea; Elephantidae.